UACGGAGGGUGCGAGCGUUGUCCGGAAUCACUGGGCUUAAAGGGCGCGUAGGCGGGCUGCCAAGUCUGGGGUGAAAUCCCACGGCUCAACCGUGGAACUGCCUCGGAUACUGGCGGUCUCGAGGGAGGUAGGGGCAUGCGGAACUGUGGGUGGAGCGGUGAAAUGCGUUGAUAUCCACAGGAACUCCGGUGGCGAAAGCGGCGUGCUGGACCUCUUCUGACGCUGAGGCGCGAAAGCUAGGGGAGCAAACGGG
This 253-nucleotide ribosomal RNA is filed under the name uncultured bacterium. RNAcentral's name for it is "partial 16S ribosomal RNA". It matches the Rfam family "Bacterial small subunit ribosomal RNA", at positions 524 to 776 of the family's 1533-position model. The record is from RNAcentral.